UACGUAGGGGGCAAGCGUUGUCCGGAUUUAUUGGGCGUAAAGAGCGUGUAGGCGGCUUCACAGGUCCGCUGUGAAAACUCGAGGCUCAACCUCGAGAUGUCGGUGGAAACCGUGUGGCUAGAGUCCGGAAGAGGAGAGUGGAAUUCCCGGUGUAGCGGUGAAAUGCGUAGAGAUGCGGAGGAACACCGAUGGCGAAGGCAGCCCCCUGGGCUAACACUGACGCUCAGGCACGAAAGCGUGGGGAGCAAACAGG
RNAcentral lists this ribosomal RNA (253 nucleotides) under uncultured bacterium. RNAcentral's name for it is "partial 16S ribosomal RNA". It matches the Rfam family "Bacterial small subunit ribosomal RNA", at positions 524 to 776 of the family's 1533-position model. The record is from RNAcentral.